Molecule: ribosomal RNA, 425 nt
Filed under: uncultured bacterium
Lineage: Bacteria
Description: partial 16S ribosomal RNA
Rfam family: Bacterial small subunit ribosomal RNA
Source: RNAcentral
GUGGGGAAUAUUGGACAAUGGGCGAAAGCCUGAUCCAGCAAUGCCGCGUGAGUGAUGAAGGCCCUAGGGUUGUAAAGCUCUUUUACCCGGGAUGAUAAUGACAGUACCGGGAGAAUAAGCCCCGGCUAACUCCGUGCCAGCAGCCGCGGUAAUACGGAGGGGGCUAGCGUUGUUCGGAAUUACUGGGCGUAAAGCGCGCGUAGGCGGCUUUGUAAGUUAGAGGUGAAAGCCCGGGGCUCAACCCCGGAACUGCCUUUAAGACUGCAUCGCUUGAAUCCGGGAGAGGUGAGUGGAAUUCCGAGUGUAGAGGUGAAAUUCGUAGAUAUUCGGAAGAACACCAGUGGCGAAGGCGGCCACCUGGACCGGUAUUGACGCUGAGGUGCGAAAGCGUGGGGAGCAAACAGGAUUAGAAACCCUAGUAGUCC